Molecule: ribosomal RNA, 491 nt
Filed under: uncultured bacterium
Lineage: Bacteria
Description: bacterial SSU rRNA
Rfam family: Bacterial small subunit ribosomal RNA
Source: RNAcentral
GAUGAACGCUGGCGGCGUGCCUAAUACAUGCAAGUCGAGCGAACUGAUUAGAAGCUUGCUUCUAUGACGUUAGCGGCGGACGGGUGAGUAACACGUGGGCAACCUGCCUGUAAGUCUGGGAUAACUUCGGGAAACCGAAGCUAAUACCGGAUAGGAUCUUCUCCUUCAUGGGAGAUGAUUGAAAGAUGGUUUCGGCUAUCACUUACAGAUGGGCCCGCGGUGCAUUAGCUAGUUGGUGAGGUAACGGCUCACCAAGGCAACGAUGCAUAGCCGACCUGAGAGGGUGAUCGGCCACACUGGGACUGAGACACGGCCCAGACUCCUACGGGAGGCAGCAGUAGGGAAUCUUCCGCAAUGGACGAAAGUCUGACGGAGCAACGCCGCGUGAGUGAUGAAGCUUUCGGGUCGUAAAACUCUGUUGUUAGGGAAGAACAAGUACAAGAGUAACUGCUUGUACCUUGACGGUACCUAACCAGAAAGCCACGGCUAAC